Clupea harengus (Atlantic herring) is the source of this 3679-nucleotide long non-coding RNA. NCBI's taxonomy places the organism in Eukaryota, Metazoa, Chordata, Actinopteri, Clupeiformes, Clupeidae. The record is from Ensembl.
GCAAAUUACCUGCGAGAUAAAAACAGCUUUUACCACCUCUUUCGAGUCAGUCUUGCAUUGUGGGUUUUUGUUGUGGUUCUAUAGCGAGAAACACAGAGGGCACUGCUUGUUUGUGCUCAUGCAGGAUGCAGGUGUCUAUUACUGUGCGAUGCCGGCUUGCUCUGCUGAUUCUGACUCUUGCUGUUUGUGAUGUCAGAAAUGCAAAUGGUUCUCAGUUUGCCUCCCCUGGCUCCACAAAAGGAGGAAGUGCUCGUUACCAUGACACUUCUGACAAAAUUGAGCCAUUGAAAGCUGGACCUGUUCAAAAUGGCAACAUGCACUCUGCUGGCAGUGCUCAGCCCAGAUAUAGUGGAUACUACCAACCAUUUCAACCUAGUUCCUUUCCAGUGGUUAGGGAACAAGCUGCAGACACCAGAUACAAGCCUCCGUCUCCUUCCCAAUCUGUUCCCACAGGGAAGAAACAUGUGCAGAGCAGCUACCAGUCACUCCACAGAGAGAGUGUGUACUCAAGACCAGCUCAAACUACAGUAGGCAGGUAUGAGCCUCCUUCUGCUUCAAAGCCUACCCAGACAGGCUACCGUCCCAUGCAGAGCAGCAACCAACCAAGCCUUAGCCAGCCUAAGAAAAACUACAAACCAGGUGUGAUUGGCCAGAGCACCAGCAGUGUGAUCCAAGGUGGUAGACAAUUGCGUCAAAGUGGCUUUCCACCAGUGCAGGGCCAGCACAGCCAAGGUCGGCAAAGUUCCCAGAUAAGACCAAAGCCAGGAAGGCUAAUAGACCCUGCUUCCUUCAAGCCAUUAUCUGCUCCGUCAGUCCAGGGAGUUGACAAGCCCUUACCUCAGAGCCACUCUUCCCCAUCUGGUCAGAGCUUUAGCCAGGCUCCUGAGACUGCACAGACAAUGUACAAACCUACACAGACCAACUAUCAGCCAUACCAGGGCAAGAGGAACCAGCAGUUUCGACUGCCAUCUAUUGCAAGCACCCAGGAGGUGGCAUCUCCAGCCAAGCCAAUGCACUCUGCUGGCAGCGCUCAGCCCAGAUCUAGUGGAUACUACCAACUAUUUCAGAGUAGUUCCUUUCCAGUGGUUAGGGAACAAGCUGCAGACACCAGAUACAAGCCUCCGUCUCCUUCCCAAACUGUUCCCACAGGGAAGAAACAUGUGCAGAGCAGCUACCAGUCACUCCACAGAGAGAGCCUGUACUCAAGACCAGCUCAAACUACAGUAGGCAGGUAUGAGCCUCCUUCUGCUUCAAAGCCUACCCAGACAGGCUACCGUCCCAUGCAGAGCAGCAACCAACCAAGCCUUAGCCAGCCUAAGAAAAACUACAAACCAGGUGUGAUUGGCCAGAGCACCAGCAGUGUGAUCCAAGGUGGUAGACAAUUGCGUCAAAGUGGCUUUCCACCAGUGCAGGGCCAGCACAGCCAAGGUCGGCAAAGUUCCCAGAUAAGACCAAAGCCAGGAAGGCUAAUAGACCCUGCAUCCUUCAAGCCAUUAUCUGCUCCGUCAGUCCAGGGAGUUGACAAGCCCUUACCUCAGAGCCACUCUUCCCCAUCUGGUCAGAGCUUUAGCCAGGCUCCUGAGACUGCACAGACAAUGUACAAACCUACACAGACCAACUAUCAGCCAUACCAGGGCAAGAGGAACCAGCAGUUUCGACUGCCAUCUAUUGCAAGCACCCAGGAGGUGGCAUCUCCAGCCAAGCCAAUGCACUCUGCUGGCAGCGCUCAGCCCAGAUCUAGUGGAUACUACCAACUAUUUCAGAGUAGUUCCUUUCCAGUGGUUAGGGAACAAGCUGCAGACACCAGAUACAAGCCUCCGUCUCCUUCCCAAACUGUUCCCACAGGGAAGAAACAUGUGCAGAGCAGCUACCAGUCACUCCACAGAGAGAGUGUGUACUCAAGACCAGCUCAAACUACAGUAGGCAGGUAUGAGCCUCCUUUUGCUUCAAAGCCUACCCAGACAGGCUACCGUCCCAUGCAGAGCAGCAACCAAUCAAGCCUUAGCCAGCCUAAGAAAGACUACAAACCAGGUGUGAUUGGCCAGAGCACCAGCAGUGUGAUCCAAGGUGGUAGACAAUUGCGUCAAAGUGGCUUUCCACCAGUAGAGGGCCAGCACAGCGAAGGUCGGCCAAGUUCCCAGAUAAGACCAAAGCCAGGAAGGCUAAUAGACCCUGGUUCCUACAAGCCACCGUCUGCUCCGUCAGUCCAGGGAGUUGACAAGCCCUUACCUCAGAGCCACUCUUCCCCAUCUGGUCAGAGCUUUAGCCAGGCUCCUGAGACUGCACAGACAAUGUACAAACCUACACAGACUAACUAUCAGCCAUACCAGGUCAAGAGGAACCAGCAGUUUCAACUGCCAUCUAUUGCAAGCACCCAGGAGGUGGCAUCUCCAGCCAAGCCAGUGCAGGGUUGGCAUCAGCAGGCGCGUCCAGUUUCCGGUGCUUGUUCCAAGCCUCAGUCCCAGAGUGUUCUGUGCUGCAUUUUAUUUCGGCUGGAAAGACCUGGGGCUGAGAACAAUCAACCAUUCCAUGGGUGGUUUGACCCACAGUGGGCAUCCCAGCAAUUUGAGCAUACUCUGACCCAAGCUGCCCCUGCCAAGCCAGUCCAGGGUUCUCAACAACAUUCUCCAGCAGUUUCUAGUUCUUAUCCAUAUUCCAGUCCUGUGCAUAGCCUCCAGACACCUAAACCAGUACAACACAACAACCAGUCCUUCCAGGGUGGGUUUCCAGCAGGUUCUACACUCCAACAUGCUGAGGGUACCCAGAAGUUGGAAUAUGCUGUGCCGCCAGGCCUGACUUGGCUUCAACAGUCUCCUGCAGUUUUUAGCUCUGUGGUCCAACAGGCUGAGAACCCUCAGAAGAGGCCGUAUCCAGCAAAGGAUUUCCAGGGUUGGCAACAGCAGUCUCCUUCUGUUCCUACCACUGGUCUGGAUUCCAAGCCUGGACAGAGCCUUCAGACCCCUCAGCAAGGGCAUGGCAUCUACCAGUCAUUCCAGAGCAUAUUCACAGAAGAAACUGCAUCUCAGUCCCCUGAAAGUGCCUGGAAACCAGCAUCUGCUAAUCCAGAACAGAGCUGGCAUCAACCAUUCCCUCCAUUUUCCUACAAUGCACAAGACUUUAAGCCAGUCCAAAUCAAGUCAAAUGUAGAAGAAACUGUAUCUCAGUCCCCUGAAAGUGCCUGGGAACCAGCAUCUGCUAAUCCAGAACAGAGUUGGCAUCAACCAUUCCCUCUGGUUUCCUACAAUGCACAAGACUUUAAGCCAGUCCAAAUCAAGUCAAAUGUAGAAGAAACUGUAUCUCAGUCCCCUGAAAGUGCCUGGAAACCAGCAUCUGCUAAUCCAGAACAGAGUUGGCAUCAACCAUUCCCUCUGGUUUCCUACAAUGCACAAGACUUUAAGCCAGUCCAAGUCAAGUCAAAUGUAUUUAUAGUCAGCAACCCCCUCAUGCGCCCAAAACGUCUGCAUAUUCUCCGCAGUCUUCUGGGUACAGUUUCUCCCACGGUACAUCUUCAGGCAACUUUGGUUCAACUGUUGGUCGGACAAAGAGCUAAAGGGUAUGUUGGUUUUAAUGGAAGUAUCCAUACCGUUGAGCCAUGUCGGUGUUUGCAUUCCCUUUUCUUUAUGUCUAGACUUUGCUGCUUGAAAUGACAUUUCAAUAAACCUCUUUGACUAUAUACAGU